GUCUACUGCCAUGAACCCUGAACAAGCCCCAUCCCAUCUGAUCUCGAGAGCUAAGCAGGGUCGGGCCUGGUUAGUACUUGGAUGGGAGACCACCUAGGAAGACCAGGUGCUGUAGGCG
This 118-nucleotide ribosomal RNA is filed under the name Pteropus alecto (black flying fox). Lineage: Eukaryota; Metazoa; Chordata; Mammalia; Chiroptera; Pteropodidae. The record is from RNAcentral.